This 460-nucleotide ribosomal RNA is filed under the name uncultured bacterium. Its description in RNAcentral is "partial 16S ribosomal RNA". It matches the Rfam family "Bacterial small subunit ribosomal RNA", at positions 338 to 795 of the family's 1533-position model. The record is from RNAcentral.
CCUACGGGAGACAGCAGUGAGGAAUAUUGGUCAAUGGACGAGAGUCUGAACCAGCCAAGUAGCGUGAAGGAUGACUGCCCUAUGGGUUGUAAACUUCUUUUAUAAAGGAAUAAAACGAGGCACGUGUGCCUCUUUGCAUGUACUUUAUGAAUAAGGAUAGGCUAACUCCGUGCCAGCAGCCGCGGUAAUACGGAGGAUCCGAGCGUUAUCCGGAUUUAUUGGGUUUAAAGGGAGCGUAGAUGGGUUGUUAAGUCAGUUGUGAAAGUUUGGGGCUCAACCGUAAAAUUGCAAUUGAUACUGGCAGUCUUGAGUACAGGAGAGGUAGGCGGAAUUCGUGGUGUAGCGGUGAAAUGCUUAGAUAUCACGAAGAACCCCGAUGGCGAAGGCGGCUAUCUAGACUGUGACUGACAUUGAUGCGCGAAAGUGUGGGUAGCAAACAGGAUUAGAUACCCCUGUAGUC